UUCCACAUGGUUGAUCUGACUCGUAUAUAUUCAGGAAUAGGGCCUGAACGUUUCUACCCGGCCACCGUAAAUGGCUGGACUACGAGCGCUUGGUCACCGGUG
Molecule: non-coding RNA, 102 nt
Filed under: Kroppenstedtia eburnea
Lineage: Bacteria; Bacillati; Bacillota; Bacilli; Caryophanales; Thermoactinomycetaceae
Also listed under: 1 other name
Description: Thermoactinomycetaceae bacterium JFMB-ATE Purine riboswitch aptamer
Rfam family: Purine riboswitch aptamer
About the family: Riboswitches are metabolite binding domains within certain messenger RNAs that serve as precision sensors for their corresponding targets. Allosteric rearrangement of mRNA structure is mediated by ligand binding, and this results in modulation of gene expression.
Source: Rfam by way of RNAcentral